GGGAAUUUAGCUCAGUGGUAGAGCGCUUGCCUAGCAAGCACAAGGCCCUGGGUUCGGUCCCCAGCUCU
Non-coding RNA from Rattus norvegicus (Norway rat), 68 nucleotides. Lineage: Eukaryota; Metazoa; Chordata; Mammalia; Rodentia; Muridae. The record is from Rfam.